Long non-coding RNA from Acanthopagrus latus (yellowfin seabream), 478 nucleotides. RefSeq lists it as uncharacterized. The transcript has 4 exons. NCBI's taxonomy places the organism in Eukaryota, Metazoa, Chordata, Actinopteri, Spariformes, Sparidae. The record is from RefSeq and is a predicted model, not a curated record.
CCAUGAAGAAGGAUGUGUCAGAAACUGAUGUCUGCCACUCUGAUGGGGAGCGCCAAAUUCAGAGUACAAAUUUGAUGAUGCGCCAUGAGAAAGAUGAGGAGCUGUGUUUCUCACAGAAAGACAACUCAGAGUUUGGAUCCAGUGAACAUAAUGCAACAUCCAGGGGUGAAGCAGUGGAGCAGAAAGCAAAGUCAGAGAUUGGAUCCGGUGACAAUCAUGUGAUGGCCCAUGGUGAAGCAAUGCCAAAAGAAGAAUAAAGACCGAGUUACAAAGUAGGAUGAGGACAUCCAACUUUCAUGUUCUUUAGGAAGAGCAGGAUGUUCAUGAGGUUUUCUGUGUUUGAGGAAGAAAACAAGUUUUUGUGUAAAAUUCUUUAUUCAAUGUUCACAUAGAAUUGAGACAUUUUGAAUGUUUAUAUUUUCAGUGAAAAACACUGAGUUACAAAGGAAGGGGAGGACACCCUAAUGCCACAUUGUUU